UCGAGAAUAUUCGACAAUGGGCGAAAGCCUGAUCGAGCGACGCCGCGUGCAGGAAGAAGGCCUUCGGGUUGUAAACUGUGGUAGUAGCAUAACAAUGCAAAUGAGUGUGCUAUGGAAAGAGGUUGGUAACUACGUGCCAGCACCCGCGGUAAUACGUAGACCUCAAGCGUUAUCCGGAUUUAUUGGGCGUAAAGCGUGUGUAGGAGGCCCGGUGCGUCAUUGGUUAAAGCCCACCGCCCAACGGUGGAAGUGCCAACGAUACGGUCGGGCUAGAGGAAGUUAGAGGCUCGUGGAACGCACGGUGUAGGGGUGAAAUCCGUUGAUAUCGUGCGGAACACCAAAGGCGAAGGCAGCGAGCUGGGACUUUCCUGACUCUGAGACACGAAAGCGUGGGGAGCAA
RNAcentral lists this ribosomal RNA (400 nucleotides) under uncultured bacterium. RNAcentral's name for it is "bacterial SSU rRNA". It matches the Rfam family "Bacterial small subunit ribosomal RNA", at positions 355 to 771 of the family's 1533-position model. The record is from RNAcentral.